CACGUAGGAGACGAGCGGUAUCCGGAUUUACUGGGCGUAAAGCGCGUGCAGGCGGUUCGGCAAGUUGGAUGUGAAAGCUCCCGGCUUAACUGGGAGAGGUCGUUCAAUACUACCGGACUUGAGAGUGGUGGAGGGAGGUGGAAUUCCGGGUGUAGUGGUGAAAUGCGUAGAUAUCCGGAGGAACACCAGUGGCGAAAGCGGCCUCCUGGACCACUUCUGACGCUCAGACGCGAAAGCUAGGGUAGCGAACGGG
This 253-nucleotide ribosomal RNA is filed under the name uncultured bacterium. RNAcentral's name for it is "partial 16S ribosomal RNA". It matches the Rfam family "Bacterial small subunit ribosomal RNA", at positions 524 to 776 of the family's 1533-position model. The record is from RNAcentral.